RNAcentral lists this transfer RNA (75 nucleotides) under Anaerolineae bacterium. RNAcentral describes it as "tRNA-Gln". It matches the Rfam family "tRNA". Rfam says of the family: Transfer RNA (tRNA) molecules are approximately 80 nucleotides in length. Their secondary structure includes four short double-helical elements and three loops (D, anti-codon, and T loops). The record is from RNAcentral. Lineage: Bacteria; Bacillati; Chloroflexota; Anaerolineae.
UGGGGGCUCGUCUAAUUGGCAGGACGACUGACUCUGGAUCAGUUAGUGAGGGUUCGAAUCCUUCGCCCCCAGCCU